GCUUCACUAAUUUUGCCUUUUUGUUGUUGGGGGUGACUUCUUCCCAGGGAUGUUCUUCUUGAUCCCCCGGGGCAAAGGGAGGUGUCAGCGUCAGGAGCCAUCCUAACUGGGGCCCUGGUAGGUCAGUGCUUUUUGUGUGACUGGACGGUGAAGCUGUCUGUGGGAAUGACCUGGCUAGUGCUCAGUGUAGUCCUAAUUAAGGUGUCUUUUACUCCGUGUUCCCAGGCUCCCUGUUUUCCUUCGGUCGCCGUGGGUGUGCCGGCCGCCUCUGGCAGGACUAACCCUGUGGCUUUUAUGUCCAACGUGCUGUGCUGUGUGUGCCUGCAGGUGGUUGGUGUUUCUGCAGUGUUUGGCACAGGACUGGGGGAGAUUUUUACCCAGCUUUCUAAAGCUGUAGAUGAAUAGGAGAGACUGAAUGCACUCCCUUUAUUCACCUUUUCAGAGAGUAUCGGCCAGAAUACGAGCGCCUGAGAAAAACACUGAAUUGCCACGAGAGGAAAUACUUCAGAGGGGCUUCCCUCCAGCUAAGCCCUGAAUAUGCCAGGAGGUUUCAGCCGGGAGGAAAGGAGCUGUGGAAGAAAAGCAGCCUAAAAAUAGCCAGCGGGGAUCAUCAGGUUUUCCAGCCAAGAAGAACAAGGAGAGAGAUGAGGGAAUCGGGUUCCAAUUCCUAAUGAUUUGGUGGGUGCAGGAAUGAUUUCUGUGUGUUUUCCAGUCCCUUUUGAUUCCUGAGAUGAUUUUAAAAUGAUGGCUUUAGCAAUCAACUAAAUCGGAGAUGUUGUUUUUGAGAGGAAAUGAUGCCAAAUAAAUGCAGAGUUUUGGGUCAGUUUUUGG
Pseudopipra pipra is the source of this 831-nucleotide long non-coding RNA. RefSeq lists it as uncharacterized. NCBI's taxonomy places the organism in Eukaryota, Metazoa, Chordata, Aves, Passeriformes, Pipridae. The record is from RefSeq and is a predicted model, not a curated record. The transcript has 4 exons.